This 582-nucleotide ribosomal RNA is filed under the name uncultured bacterium. RNAcentral describes it as "bacterial SSU rRNA". It matches the Rfam family "Bacterial small subunit ribosomal RNA", at positions 338 to 917 of the family's 1533-position model. The record is from RNAcentral.
CCUACGGGAGGCAGCAGUCGGGAAUAUUGGACAAUGGGCGAGAGCCUGAUCCAGCCAUGCCGCGUGCAGGAAGACUGCCCUAUGGGUUGUAAACUGCUUUUAUACAGGAAGAAUAAGCCUUACGUGUAAGGUGAUGACGGUACUGUAAGAAUAAGGACCGGCUAACUCCGUGCCAGCAGCCGCGGUAAUACGGAGGGUCCGAGCGUUAUCCGGAAUUAUUGGGUUUAAAGGGUCCGUAGGCGGAUGAUUAAGUCAGGGGUGAAAGUUUGCAGCUCAACUGUAAAAUUGCCUUUGAUACUGGUUAUCUUGAGUUGUAUUGAAGUAGGCGGAAUAUGUAGUGUAGCGGUGAAAUGCAUAGAUAUUACAUAGAACACCAAUUGCGAAGGCAGCUUACUAAGUACUAACUGACGCUGAUGGACGAAAGCGUGGGUAGCGAACAGGAUUAGAUACCCUGGUAGUCCACGCCGUAAACGAUGGAUACUAGCUGUUCGGGACCUUGAGUUCUGAGCGGCUAAGCGAAAGUGAUAAGUAUCCCACCUGGGGAGUACGUUCGCAAGAAUGAAACUCAAAGGAAUUGACGGA